GUACAACUCUGAGCGGUGGAUCACUCGGCUCGUGUGUCGAUGAAGAGCGCAGCCAACUGUGUGAAUUAAUGUGAACUGCAUACUGCUUUGAACAUCGACAUCUUGAACGCAUAUUGCGGCCAUGGGUUAGCCUGUGGCCACGCCUGUCCGAGGGUCGGCUU
This 161-nucleotide ribosomal RNA is filed under the name Lepocreadiidae gen. sp. 3 CG-2013. RNAcentral describes it as "5.8S ribosomal RNA". It matches the Rfam family "5.8S ribosomal RNA". Rfam says of the family: 5.8S ribosomal RNA (5.8S rRNA) is a component of the large subunit of the eukaryotic ribosome. It is transcribed by RNA polymerase I as part of the 45S precursor that also contains 18S and 28S rRNA. Functionally, it is thought that 5.8S rRNA may be involved in ribosome translocation. The record is from RNAcentral. Lineage: Eukaryota; Metazoa; Platyhelminthes; Trematoda; Plagiorchiida; Lepocreadiidae.